UCAGCAUACCCAGUGCUAAAACCUGCUUCAGCAGGGGACUCUCAUGUUUCUAUUUUGGACAGCUAACCUUAAAUCAAAAUACCUGAUUCAAUUCCAUGAAUUCCCACUCUAUCUGAAAGUUUGCUAUGUUUGAUCACUCUCUAUGCAGAAUUUCAUACUAGAAUGCUGCAAGUUUUACACAAUUUCUUAAUAGGUCUUGAAGUCUCCAUCUCUACUCUUUCUUGGCUCGUUCCUUUUAUUAUUUAUUUCAUUCAAAGUGAAUGAAGGACUUGAAAUGUAGUUUUCAGAUAUUUUGUUGAUCCUUGUCUGCACUGAGAUUGCCAAAAGCAUGAAGAAUAUAGAUUACUGCUGAAAUCUAUAUAGUGGAAUCUAUAUAGUGGAACACACCGAAAAUGUUGGACCCAUGAAUAAGGCAUCCUCAUCACUACAGUUCAUCACAUGCUGAUUUAGAGCUGGGAAACUGAAGAUUGAAGAUUGAAGGUUGAAGAAAGUGAAAGAUCUAAGUCCUGAAUUUAAAGAACACUUGAGGAAGGAAUUUGUCUAGAUGUUGAGCUCUGAAUUCCGGAAAAGGUCUCUGUUCAUUGCCCGUGGGAAUCUCCUCUUUGACAUGAAUUCAGUCUAAGAAAAAACAAAAACAAACAAACAAACAAAACAUAUCAGGAUUUAUCUUUUAUUAUCUUACCAUCAAAUAUAAUACUUUAAAUCUUUAAA
This is a non-coding RNA of Anas platyrhynchos (mallard), 711 nucleotides long. Lineage: Eukaryota; Metazoa; Chordata; Aves; Anseriformes; Anatidae. The record is from RefSeq and is a predicted model, not a curated record.